This 790-nucleotide ribosomal RNA is filed under the name uncultured archaeon. RNAcentral describes it as "bacterial SSU rRNA". It matches the Rfam family "Archaeal small subunit ribosomal RNA", at positions 85 to 878 of the family's 1478-position model. The record is from RNAcentral.
ACUGCUCAGUAACACGUAGUCAACAUGCCCAGGGGACGUGGAUAACCUCGGGAAACUGAGGCUAAACCGCGAUAGGCCAAGAUUUCUGGAAUGGAUCAUGGCUUAAAUCUAUAUGGCCCCUGGAUUGGACUGCGGCCGAUCAGGCUGUUGGUGAGGUAAUGGCCCACCAAACCUGUAACCGGUACGGGCUCUGAGAGGAGGAGCCCGGAGAUGGGCACUUAGACAAGGGCCCAGGCCCUAUGGGGCGCAGCAGGCGCGAAACCUCUGCAAUAAGCGAAAGCUUGACAGGGUUACUCUGAGUGAUUUCCGCUAAGGAAGUCUUUUGGCACCUCUAAAAAUGGUGCAGAAUAAGGGGUGGGCAAGUCUGGUGUCAGCCGCCGCGGUAAUACCAGCACCCCGAGUGGUCGGGACGAUUAUUGGGCCUAAAGCAUCCGUAGCCGGUCCUGCAAGUCCUCCGUUAAAUCCACCCGCUCAACGGUUGGGCCGCGGGGGAUACUACAGGGUUAGGAGGCGGGAGAGGCAAGCGGUACUCGAUGGGUAGGGGUAAAAUCCACUGAUCCAUUGAAGACCACCAGUGGCGAAGGCGGCCUGCCAGAACGCGCUCGACGGUGAGGGAUGAAAGCUGGGGGAGCAAACCGGAUUAGAUACCCGGGUAGUCCCAGCUGUAAACGAUGCAGACUCGGUGAUGGGCUGGCUUCGUGCCAACCCGGUGCCGCAGGGAAGCCGUUAAGUCUGCCGCCUGGGGAGUACGGUCGCAAGACUGAAACUUAAAGGAAUUGGCGGGGGAGCA